Molecule: ribosomal RNA, 356 nt
Filed under: uncultured bacterium
Lineage: Bacteria
Description: bacterial SSU rRNA
Rfam family: Bacterial small subunit ribosomal RNA
Source: RNAcentral
AGAGUUUGAUCCUGGCUCAGGAUGAACGCUUAGCUACAGGCUUAACACAUGCAAGUCGAGGGAAACGAUAUUGGAAGCUUGCUUCCGAUAGGCGUCGACCGGCGCACGGGUGAGUAACGCGUAUCCAACCUGCCCACCACUUGGGGAUAACCUUGCGAAAGUAAGACUAAUACCCAAUGAUAUCUCUAGAAGACAUCUGAAAGAGAUUAAAGAUUUAUCGGUGAUGGAUGGGGAUGCGUCUGAUUAGCUUGUUGGCGGGGUAACGGCCCACCAAGGCGACGAUCAGUAGGGGUUCUGAGAGGAAGGUCCCUCACAUUGGAACUGAGACACGGUCCAAACUCCUACGGGAGGCAGCA